RNAcentral lists this ribosomal RNA (460 nucleotides) under uncultured bacterium. Its description in RNAcentral is "partial 16S ribosomal RNA". It matches the Rfam family "Bacterial small subunit ribosomal RNA", at positions 338 to 795 of the family's 1533-position model. The record is from RNAcentral.
CCUACGGGUGGCAGCAGUGAGGAAUAUUGGUCAAUGGGCGCUAGCCUGAACCAGCCAAGUAGCGUGAAGGAUGACUGCCCUAUGGGUUGUAAACUUCUUUUAUAUGGGAAUAAAGUGCAGUAUGUAUACUGCUUUGCAUGUACCUUAUGAAUAAGGAUCGGCUAACUACGUGCCAGCAGCCGCGGUAAUACGGAGGAUCCGAGCGUUACCCGGAUUUAUUGGGUUUAAAGGGAGUGUAGGCGGGUUGUUCACGUCAGCUGUAAAAUCGCGCGGCUAAAACGCGCCCCGCAGUUGAAACUGGACGCCUUGAGUUCACAACAGGCAGGCGGAAUUCGUGGUGUAGCGGUGAAAUGCAUAGAUAUCACGAGGAACCCCGAUUGCGAAGGCAGCCUGCCGGGGUGCGACUGACGCUGAGGCUCGAAGGUGCGGGUAUCAAACAGGAUUAGAGACCCCGGUAGUC